GGAAGUAAAAGUCUAACAAGGUUUCCGUAGGUGAACCUGCGGAAGGAUCAUUAUUGUAUAACCGAGGUGCGAGGGCUGUCGCUGACCCGAAAGGUCGUGCACGCCCGAGUGCCCUCACACACAUCCAUCUCACCCCUAUGUGCACCACCGCGUGGGUCCCCCUUUGGCUUGUUCGGAGGGGGGCUUACGUUUUCACACAAACUUUGUAUGCAGUGUAGAAUGUAUUUUUUGUUUUUGCGAUCACGCAAUCAAUACAGCUUUCAACAACGGAUCUCUUGGCUCUC
This 284-nucleotide unclassified non-coding RNA is filed under the name plant metagenome. RNAcentral's name for it is "partial contains small subunit ribosomal RNA and internal transcribed spacer 1". The stretch from base 1 to 53 matches the Rfam family "Eukaryotic small subunit ribosomal RNA", at positions 1778 to 1831 of the family's 1831-position model. The record is from RNAcentral.